Jaculus jaculus (lesser Egyptian jerboa) is the source of this 133-nucleotide small nucleolar RNA. Its record names the gene SNORA71. It matches the Rfam family "Small nucleolar RNA SNORA71". Rfam says of the family: The members of this family belong to the H/ACA class of snoRNAs which bind a number of proteins (including dyskerin, Gar1p and Nop10p) to form snoRNP complexes. This class of snoRNAs are thought to guide the sites of modification of uridines to pseudouridines by forming direct base pairing interactions with substrate RNAs. This family includes U71 (SNORA71), ACA39 (SNORA39) and ACA60 (SNORA60). NCBI's taxonomy places the organism in Eukaryota, Metazoa, Chordata, Mammalia, Rodentia, Dipodidae. The record is from Ensembl.
AUCUGCAUCCGAAAGUGACCCUGGGCUACUCAUGGCCUGGUCAUGAAGAGUGCAGGGAGACGGUGCUGACAAUAUUCCCCUGGGGUUUGGAAGAUCCACUCCUGCCCUUGCCAAUCCUUGGAUGUUUCCCACG